This 164-nucleotide ribosomal RNA is filed under the name uncultured bacterium. RNAcentral's name for it is "partial 16S ribosomal RNA". It matches the Rfam family "Bacterial small subunit ribosomal RNA", at positions 355 to 511 of the family's 1533-position model. The record is from RNAcentral.
UAGGGAAUCUUCCACAAUGGGCGCAAGCCUGAUGGAGCAACACCGCGUGAGUGAAGAAGGGUUUCGGCUCGUAAAGCACUGUUGUAAGAGAAGAAUGACAUUGAGAGUAACUGUUCAAUGUGUGACGGUAUCUUACCAGAAAGGAACGGCUAAAUACGUGCCAG